This 367-nucleotide long non-coding RNA is filed under the name Sarcophilus harrisii (Tasmanian devil). Its description in RNAcentral is "lncRNA (ENSSHAG00000031939.1)". The record is from RNAcentral. Lineage: Eukaryota; Metazoa; Chordata; Mammalia; Dasyuromorphia; Dasyuridae.
GUUAGUAAAGAAAAAGAAGAACUGUAUAGCUUCUCAAGCUUGACCCAAUCUCGAGCCUGCUCACUGUCCAUCUCGAAGCACAAUUCCUGGGAUCCAUCAAUGAUUUGUAUAUCAAUCAACCAGCUCAAUGUCUACCCAUCCCAAAGACUUUAAACAAAAGGAAAGGUGAAAGUUUGGAAUUGGAAGUGUACAGUACUUCCCAGAAGACAAUGGAAUGAACUAAGUCAAAGGUUCUACUUUGAGGGAGAAGAGAGAUGGCUGUAGCCAAAAUUUUCUGACGAUCAACCUUCAAAGUCACUUCACUUUAACGCCCCCCCCUCUCCAUUUCUAAAAUUCUCUGUUCCUUUGAAACCAGAUAAUAAAUGCA